CUACCAUGGCUUUCACGGGUAACGGAGGAUUAGGGUUCGAUUCCGGAGAGGGAGCCUGAGAAACGGCUACCACAUCUAAGGAAGGCAGCAGGCGCGUAAAUUACCCAAUACUGAUUCAGUGAGGUAGUGACAAGAAAUAGCGGGCCGGCCACGUGCCGGGACUGAAAUGAUUAGAAUUUAACGACCUUUACGAGGAACAAUUGGAGGGCAAGUCUGGUGCCAGCAGCCGCGGUAAUUCCAGCUCCAAUAGCGUAUAUUAAAGUUGUUGCAGUUAAAAAGCUCGUAGUUGGAUUUCUGGCAGUGUGACUCCGGCCGGCAUGACGUCGGGUCCAGAGCGCGCUACCAUCCUUCUGUCAACCUUUUCGGGAUUCAUUUCCCGGUCUGGGGCUCAGAUAUUUUACCUUGAGAAAAUUAGAGUGUUUCAGGCAGGCUUUCGCCGGAAUACAUUAGCAUGGAAUAAUGGAAAAGGACUUCAACCUCUUCUGUUGGUCUGAGAGGCUGUAGUAAUGAUUAAUAGGGAUAGUUGGGGGCAUUAGUACUUGACUGUCAGAGGUGAAAUUCUCCGAUUUGUUAAAGACUAACUUAUGCGAAAGCAUUUGCCAAGGAUGUUUUCAUUAAUCAG
Molecule: ribosomal RNA, 622 nt
Filed under: Ciliophora sp.
Lineage: Eukaryota; Ciliophora
Description: SSU rRNA
Rfam family: Eukaryotic small subunit ribosomal RNA
Source: RNAcentral